RNAcentral lists this ribosomal RNA (164 nucleotides) under uncultured bacterium. Its description in RNAcentral is "partial 16S ribosomal RNA". It matches the Rfam family "Bacterial small subunit ribosomal RNA", at positions 1336 to 1500 of the family's 1533-position model. The record is from RNAcentral.
UAGUAAUGGCAGGUCAGCAUACUGCCGUGAAUACGUUCCCGGGCCUUGUACACACCGCCCGUCACACCAUGAGAGUUGGGAAUACCCGAAGCCUGUGAGCUAACUUUUAGAGGCAGCAGUCGAAGGUAGAACCAAUGAUUGGGGUGAAGUCGUAACAAGGUACC